This 136-nucleotide non-coding RNA is filed under the name Nitrosomonas communis. Lineage: Bacteria; Pseudomonadati; Pseudomonadota; Betaproteobacteria; Nitrosomonadales; Nitrosomonadaceae. The record is from RNAcentral.
CAGCAGGAGACAGACCUGCCGGGGAAAGAGUCAGAAGCCCCGUAGCUUGGAUAGCGGGAAGGCGGGUAACCAAUAUCCUGAAGCCUAUCGACAAGACUUUCCUUGGUGAAGUGCGAGUCACCGGGCCGUAACGAAA